This is a non-coding RNA of Zootermopsis nevadensis, 3350 nucleotides long. NCBI's taxonomy places the organism in Eukaryota, Metazoa, Arthropoda, Insecta, Blattodea, Termopsidae. The record is from RefSeq and is a predicted model, not a curated record.
CAGUCACUCAUAUAAUUAUUUGUUAUUAGUACGUUUGAGACAAAAUUAAGGUAAAACAUAUGACGACAAUUUUGGGGAUGUCUUUACACUUUCAGGAUUCGAAAUCGAGACAAUGUAAAAAUAAAUAUGGAUGAAAUGUUUGUGAAAUUAGUGCAUUCGCUGGAAUUUUAUAGCAACAAAUGAUAUAUUAAAUAAAGUCAGUCAUGACAGCUCAGACAUACCUGGACAGAAGAAAGCGCAGCGGCUGUUGGCGUCUCACGAGUCAGAAAGCGACUGGCCGCAAACUUCUUACAGAAACACACAGAUCACCUUUCCUUUCGCCUUACCGGGAGUUGACGGUUGGAGAUGCAGUAGGAGGGGAACCUCCCCCACCAGGUUCCCUACCCCACACCAGUCCUCGCAACUAUUCACGUAGAACUAAUUUUCGCGUUGACACUCUCGUUUCAUGUAACAUCCAUCCCCACCACAAGUCCUCCCCACCACAGCCACACAAAACUUGGCUCCUGAUCUGUGGCAAAAUAAUGGAAGUUAAAAAUGUCCAGGUUCCGAAUUCGGGUACAAAAACCUCGUUUAUAACUGUGUAUACAUGUUUAAAUAUUUUGGCAACAUCCUCUUCAGUGUUGAAUACAGAGUGCGUUCGAAAAGUCGCUGUGCUAUUGUUGUUAUCCAGAACACCCAAUCACAGGAGAGGACCUUGUUAAUGUACUUAUAAAUAAAAUUAAGUGUCCAAAGAUGCAAGGGACGGUCAUUUCUAACACUACUUACACACGUCAUGUAAUCUUUGUCUAGUGUAUUAUGUGAUUCGUGGUUAACUGUACAGUGAUUUUUCUAUGCUCUGUGCAAGAACAGCUUAAGCAGCGAUACGAGAUUUGAGCUUUUCAGUGCGGUAAAUAUGUCGUUGUUGUUAAAGGCAGACGGCGUUUUGGAGGAACACGCUACCUUCACAUUCAACCCUGACGAUGGAGGUAGUAUGUUCCUACAGAAGACCAACAUCCACAGUUCAGGAACUAUCAUAAGUAGGCUAACGUUCACAAUAAUGUACAACACAUUGUCAGGGCACCGGAAGGAUAAAUUUAGAUUAAUACUUUUGGACCUAAGAUGGACCCGUGCCAGAAGGAAUCCGUAAUAUUUACUUUGCCAGGGGAAAUUGAGACAACACAGCGCCCGGUUCGAAGGAUGAGCCCAGAUAGGCGAAAUGGUUCCAUACGACACUCGAAUCCACAAGAGAAGGACGAUAAAGAUUAAUAUAAGAAACUUUAUGUGGUGCUACAUCUGAUGGUUUUGAAUGACUAAACCAGAAUAUCCCAGUAUUUUUAUACCUUCGACACAGUUGAUUGUAGUCUGAAAUUUGACGGCACACAGGGGUUUUGAGGAGGGGAUACUUUUUAGUAGUUGCCACACUGCAGAUUCAUCACGUUUAGUGCUUGUGGGUAUACAGCUUCCUACAGACAUCUAGCGUAAGUUACUAUGAAAGCGCAAUCUAUUUUUCAAAUUACUAUUACGGCCUAACGUAACUUUCUGGCCUUGGUGGACAAAAAUAUGUUGCAAAAGCAAUAAUUAACAUCGUUAGGAUUUGUAGCUGACAAAAAGGAACACUUGAACCGGUUAAGGCAGUUCUAGAGAGAUGGUUUUCAAAUAAUUAAAAUUAUAACUGAAUUCACCUAAAAUGCUAUACGUGUAUUUUUUGGGGCCUCUCGAUUGGUUCCACCACCCCUGGUUAGCGAAAAAAAAAUCAGAGAGGUUGAGUUGGUCUCGGCAGGUACCUCGGGCAAAGAAAACAAGAAACGAACAUGGAAUGGAGGAAGCCCGGCCAUUUUGAGUACCGAGUCGGAUAAAACUAAAAUUAAGGAAAUGGGCCCCAAAACUGUGAAUCUAACUAAUUACCUCUAGUAUUAGCAGUAUCGAAUCAUCGAUUUCUGUCACCGGAGAGUUGGUUAACUUCGUUGUUAUGGAAUAAUGAAGAAAGGGCUGUAAUAUGAUGAUAAAGUGAACCGCGGUUGUGCUUCAAAUAGGGUUCAACUUCAACCAAUAAGCAAAGUAUAAAUGUCCUCUGAGAUGCAUUACGUAACAAAGCGAAAAGACGAAAAUAAGACAUUCAACAAGCAACAAGAAAAAAUAAAGCAAUGCAGGAAGAGAGACGAAGAAAAGUGUGGAUGUAGGAAGAAAUGAACAAGGAAAGACUAUCUCCAGGAAGGCUCGUGGGUGGCAUUACGAAACGUCGUUUCAUUUCCCUGUCAUCAAUCAAUGGUAGGUAAUUGUUGAGAAGGCGCAAUUAGUCGGGAUGUGACGUGAUACGGCUCUCUGCUAAUGCAGCGUCCACCAGUCACUCGUCUUUAAUCUUGAUGGACAAAGUAAUUACACCAAACAAAAACCACGACAAUGAUUAAUAGCCUAUAUCGAUAUAUGAGGUGAGCAGUUUUAAUACGAAGUGUAUUUAUAUUCAUUGGAUGGACGGAGGGAGUCGAUUUCGCCGAGCCAUUGCCUUAUUUGUUCUAACCUCGAUACGAUCAGCUGAGAUUGCGCGGGGCGCGAACCCUUGCGGGAAGUGGACGCUACUGAUUGAUCAAACAAGCUGUUCAUUACGACUAAUUGUAGAUCAGAUCGAUAGAUGUGAAAAUGAUUUAUGACUAUACCAAAAAUAUUUGCAGCGUCAUCGGUUAUUAACACAGUCCACACUUCUUACUUAUAUUUAUUUUUCAGCGACGUAAUUAAAUUGCAGUUUUAGUCUACAGAUGAUCUUAUUAUUGUAAUCUUAGACCUGUUUCGGCGCCCUGAUAAUGGAAGCAGGAAGCAUCUCUGAAACGUUGGUAAACGUCUACUAGACUACAGUGUGCAGCAUUGCAGAAGACAGACGUCUUCAUGCGCGCCACCGUGAGAACCUAAAAUCUCAUCAAGGUUAACUAUAACUGUGUCCGGUGUUCGAUGUAUGUUACUUCUCCAGACACCAGCUGAUACUGACGUGCAAUUAAUCGCUUUGUACGUACGUGCACGUGUUGUUUACAAUUCUAUAAGAUUAAUCAGCACACGAUAUCGUUGUGACUAUUCAAGAACCCACGCAUUCAAGAACGUCACGUCAUGUUGAAACCUGUUGGCGCCAGCCCAUCAGUUGUCUUUCAACAGUCGAAGUGCAACGAGAGUUCUGCCUGGCUCAUCGUUUCUACUAAACUUGCCAAAAUGAGGUUAGGGAUAUAUUUCCCGAUUCUCCUCUGACAAAAUAAAAAUCGACAAUAGCUCAUCCGGUGAACCGUUUCCGUGGCACAAGAACUCAUCACCGGUGCGUGGACAUUUCCAACGCUUGUCUUUUUGUGAUUUCAGUGUAAUUUUUUUAAAAAUAUAACUUAUAUCGGGAA